UACAGAGGUCUCAAGCGUUGUUCGGAUUCAUUGGGCGUAAAGGGUGCGUAGGCGGCGCGGUAAGUCGGGUGUGAAAUCUUGGAGCUUAACUCCGAAACUGCAUUCGAUACUGGCGAUCUUGAGUCCGGAAGAGGUGAGUGGAACUCCUAGUGUAGAGGUGGAAUUCGUAGAUAUUAGGAAGAACACCAGUGGCGAAGGCGGCUCACUGGUCCGGUACUGACGCUGAGGUGCGAAAGCGUGGGGAGCAAACAGG
This 253-nucleotide ribosomal RNA is filed under the name uncultured bacterium. RNAcentral describes it as "partial 16S ribosomal RNA". It matches the Rfam family "Bacterial small subunit ribosomal RNA", at positions 524 to 776 of the family's 1533-position model. The record is from RNAcentral.